RNAcentral lists this ribosomal RNA (253 nucleotides) under uncultured bacterium. RNAcentral's name for it is "partial 16S ribosomal RNA". It matches the Rfam family "Bacterial small subunit ribosomal RNA", at positions 524 to 776 of the family's 1533-position model. The record is from RNAcentral.
UACGUAGGGGGCAAGCGUUGUCCGGAUUUAUUGGGCGUAAAGCGUGUGUAGGCGGCCAUACAGGUCAGCUGUGAAAACUCGAGGCUCAACCUCGAGACGUCGGUUGAAACCGUAUGGCUAGAGUCCGGAAGAGGAGAGUGGAAUUCCCGGUGUAGCGGUGAAAUGCGCAGAUAUCGGGAAGAACACCCAUGGCGAAGGCAGCUCUCUGGGACGGUACUGACGCUGAGACGCGAAAGCGUGGGGAGCGAACAGG